Molecule: ribosomal RNA, 515 nt
Filed under: uncultured Glomus
Lineage: Eukaryota; Fungi; Glomeromycota; Glomeromycetes; Glomerales; Glomeraceae
Description: SSU rRNA
Rfam family: Eukaryotic small subunit ribosomal RNA
Source: RNAcentral
GUAUUCCGCUCCAUAGCGUAUAUUAAAGUUGCUGCAGUUAAAAAGCUCGUAGUUGGAUUUCGGAACCAAUAUGUUGGUUGUGCCUCGGUACGUACUGGCAUUGUUGGUUUCUCCCUUCUGACGAACUAUGAUGUCAUUAAUUUGGUGUCAUGGGGAAUCAGGACUGUUACCUUGAAAAAAUUAGAGUGUUUAAAGCAGGCUCACGCUUGAAUACAUUAGCAUGGAAUAAUGAAAUAGGACGUUUGAUUCUAUUUUGUUGGUUUCUAGGAUUGACGUAAUGAUUAAUAGGGAUAGUUGGGGGCAUUAGUAUUCAAUUGUCAGAGGUGAAAUUCUUGGAUUUAUUGAAGACUAACUACUGCGAAAGCAUUUGCCAAGGAUGUUUUCAUUAAUCAAGAACGAAAGUUAGGGGAUCGAAGACGUUCAGAUACCGUCGUAGUCUUAACCAUAAACUAUGCCGACUAGGGAUCGGAUGAUGUUAAUUUUUUAAUGACUCAUUCGGCACCUUACGGGAAACA